Mastomys coucha (southern multimammate mouse) is the source of this 565-nucleotide long non-coding RNA. RefSeq lists it as uncharacterized. The record is from RefSeq and is a predicted model, not a curated record. NCBI's taxonomy places the organism in Eukaryota, Metazoa, Chordata, Mammalia, Rodentia, Muridae. The transcript is spliced from 2 exons.
UUAGCUUAGCUGAAGUGGGAAGACACACUUGACUGUGGGCAGCACUGCUCCAUUGGCUGGGGUUCCCGACGGAAUAAAAAGGUAGAAAGAAGCUAAGUAACAGUAUUUAUCACUUUCUGCUGCUGGAUCAAAGAUGCACUGUGGUCAGCCCCCUCAAGCUCCCGAUACAAGCCAUGGCAGACUGUAUCCCCUAGAACCGAAGUUGCUUAGACACCUACAAGUAUCUACUUCAAUGCCAGUAUGUCACAUUGUGUCACCGAAGGUUCCCAAAGAGGUAGCGUGACAGAUAGGGUAGAGGCAGGUGAGAACGCUGGAGCUGCCUCCCAUCCUGCAAAGCUCUGCCUGCCUGCUAGCAGCUAACUUUCUGCCCCGUCUGCAAAGCUAACAGAUGAGCAUCUUUCCAAUGGCCACAGCAUCGCGUCAAGAACGACUUCAGAAAAGAAUACAAAGAAAAUGAAGAGAGAGAAACAAGGAGAGCGUUGUUUUCUCUUAGAAAUCUGGUUUGGAGUUAGGGAGCUCCUCAUGAAAAAAAAAAUUGGUACCAGUGAUUAUCUGGAUCUGCAAA